GACAACACAACGGCCUUCCUCGCUGACUCCUCACAAAAAAAUAAAAAUAAAUAAUGCCACUUAUCUACUACUAACAUAGCACAUAGCAUAGUAGUAUAUUUGCAAUGUAUGGAGUCACACUUAUGGAAGAAGAAAAUGUGAUGUAUUUGCACAUUUAAGGUCAUAAGUAAAAAUGAAUAAAUCAUGGAAUAAUUUUUUUACUCUUUGUAUUCAUUUUCCAUCACAAGAAGUGUAAAUUCUAAACUUUCAAAUAUCUGCUUCAUUCAAGUUUAUUAUUUGGUAAAAUUUUACCAGAACAUUUAUAUAAUUUUUAUUGUAAUUGAACUAUUGUCAUACUUGUAUGACAGGUAAUAAUGUUCAAAUGUGUGUCUGUACAGGUAAUAAAUAUUUUAAGACAAUGCCUUGGGAUACCCCCUGGAAAAGCUGGAGAAGGAAGUCUGGGCUGGAUGGCAAUAUAUGCAAUACAAAACCAUUAUACCACCCUACAGCCACUCUGAAAUAGUGAACAUAUUCUUUGUUUCUAGAGCCCAUCAAUAGAACCGUGCAGACAUCUGCUCAAUGUGCUUAUUUAGGCAGUUAAAGUGAAAAGUGAAUUUCUAAUGAAAUAUACUUCUCACUGCAACCCCCCCCCCCCCCCCCCAAAAAAAAAUUAAAAAUAAAACUUGGCCGACUGGUUAGCACAUCUGCCUCACAGUUCUGGGGACUGCGGUUCAAAUCCCGGCCCCGCCUGUGUGGAGUUUGCAUGUUCUCCCCGUGCUUGCGUGGGUUUUCUCCGGGCAGUCCGGUUUCUUCCCACAUCCCCAAAACAUGCGUGGUAGGUUGAUUGAAGACUCUGAAUUGCCCAUAGGUCUGAAUGUGUGUGCGAAUGGUUGUUUGUUUCUAUGUACCCUGCGAUUGGCUGGCGACCAGUUCAGUGUGUACCCCGCCUCUCGCCUGAAGAUAGCUGGGAUAGGCUCCAGCAGCCUGUGACCCAAGUGAGGAUAAACGGUAAAGAAAAUGGAUGGAUGGAUGUUAUUUUCUGUUUACUGUUUACAGGCCCCUGAUUUCACCCUAUUUGGUUCCAAAGGUUCUUCCACUGUCCUUGACUAUAUAAUCCUUUGCGAGACAAGCCUCUCUUUGAUAAAACUUACUGCAACAAUGAGAACAUACCUGUUUCUGGCUUUGUAGCUCUGUGCCCUGCUGCCACUGUCAAAUCGCCAUUCUGUCAUGGUGCUCGAACCAGGUGAAAAAUAAAUAUUUGUUGUUCUCUGUUCGGCGGACAAAUGGUUGGAGCGUCCGCCUCACAGUUCUGAGGACCGGGGUUCAAUCCCCGGCCCCGCCUGUGUGGAGUUUCAUAUGGAAUUAAUUAUGUACCAAAGGAACUUCGUUUUUUGUUUUUUUUGGUGUUGUGUUGUGUGAUAAUAUUACUGCCAAAAAUACGGUAUAAUGUGUGAUGUUUUCUAGUAUUUAUUGACAUAAAGAGGUUGCGAUGACCUUUAUCCUAUUUAUUUCCAAAGGUUCUUCAACUGUCCUUCACUUUAAUCCUUUGAGACCCAGGCCUCUUUUCAGUUUGAUAAGACUUAUUGCAACAAUGGUAAGUUUAAGCUGUUUUUUUUUGUUUUAAUUUUUAUGUAGUAUACCUCACUUUGAAUGGCAAAAAUGCUAUGUUUGCUUCUGUAAAAAAAAACAAAAAAAAGAACUGAUUAUAAAUUGUUUUCCCAUGUCCUCAGAGAGCAUACCUGUCUCUGGCUUUGCUGUUAUGUGCAAUGCUAUACAGAAUGUAUAACAGGGUUGACCCAUCUAUUGAAUGUGAAGAUUUUUUUGCAGUUGGAAAGUGAUGGAGCAAUAACAUCCCUCACUGACCACUUGCGAAGAAACAAAGCUACUUAUUUAAUACAAUAUAGUUGUAGUGCACUUGCAAUGCAGGAGGUUAAGCUGAUGGAAGAAGAAAAUGUAAUGUAAUUAAACAUUUGAGAUCAAAUGUGACAAAUGAAUAAAAAAAAUCUGCAAUCCCA
Long non-coding RNA from Phyllopteryx taeniolatus (common seadragon), 1994 nucleotides. RefSeq lists it as uncharacterized. The transcript is spliced from 2 exons. Lineage: Eukaryota; Metazoa; Chordata; Actinopteri; Syngnathiformes; Syngnathidae. The record is from RefSeq and is a predicted model, not a curated record.